CCUACGGGAUGCAGCAGUGAGGAAUAUUGCGCAAUGGACGCAAGUCUGAUGCAGCAACGCCGCGUGGAGGAUGACGGCCCUUGGGUUGUAAACUCCUUUUUUCAGGGAAGAGUGAGGACGGUACCUGAAGAAUAAGUCACGGCUAACUACGUGCCAGCAGCCGCGGUAAUACGUAGGUGGCAAGUGUUAUCCGGAAUUACUGGGCGUAAAGCGCACGCAGGCGGCUCUUUAAGUUUGACGUGAAAGCUCCCGGCUUAACUGGGAGAGGUCGUUGAAAACUGAAGGGCUUGAGGCAAUGAGAGGGGUGUAGAAUUCCCGGUGUAGUGGUGGAAUGCGUAGAUAUCGGGAGGAAUACCAGUGGCGAAAGCGGCACUCUAGCAUUAGCCUGACGCUCAGGUGCGAAAGCGUGGGGAGCGAACAGGAUUAGAUACCCCGGUAGUC
Molecule: ribosomal RNA, 441 nt
Filed under: uncultured bacterium
Lineage: Bacteria
Description: bacterial SSU rRNA
Rfam family: Bacterial small subunit ribosomal RNA
Source: RNAcentral